RNA transcript from Zea mays, 2628 nucleotides. It is a transcript of the gene named RNA-binding protein 24-B, with no coding region annotated. The transcript has 6 exons. The record is from RefSeq and is a predicted model, not a curated record. Lineage: Eukaryota; Viridiplantae; Streptophyta; Magnoliopsida; Poales; Poaceae.
GGUGCAUGGUAUUUUAAUAUGAGCGUGCUUUGGACCAAAAGGACCUCGCUGGUGCAUUAUAGCAAACACUAGUAUAUAUUGAUGUUUCUGUACCUCGCCCUCUCUCUCCUCUACCCCUUUUCCUCUAACCUUUAGCUUUCCUCCCUCCCUCCUCUCUUUCUCUCCUCUAACAAGAACUUAGUCCCGGCAGUUCAGAUCCUAAGUUGCUGACCUUGCUGCUGAUUGUUGGAGAUAGAUUUGCUGCUUCUAAGUUGGAAAUACCAUGAGUCCACCGAGUGUGAUGGGGCAGUUUGGGGACACGACCUACACCAAGGUUUUUGUUGGGGGACUCGCGUGGGAAACCCAGAAGGAGACUAUGAGGAAGUAUUUCGAGCAGUUUGGAGAGAUCCUGGAGGCUGUUGUCAUCACUGACAAGAACACUGGCAGAUCCAAGGGCUACGGAUUUGUUACCUUCCGGGACUCGGAUGCGGCAAUGAGAGCUUGCGUUGAUCCUGCACCGGUGAUUGAUGGGAGGAGGGCUAACUGUAAUCUUGCUUCCCUUGGGGUUCAAAGAUCUAGGCCUCCUACUCCCCAGCAUGGAGGGGCUAGGAACUUUAAAGUGAUGAAAUCUUUCAGCCAGCAGGCAGGAAUCCAAGGUGGACUGGGCGCAGCUUUUCCUUCUCAUGCCACCUUCCCUCAUUAUGCCAUCCCACAAGGCCUCCCCUACCAUAUCUAUGGGUACUCUCCAUAUACCCUAGACUACGGUUAUCCAACACCGCGGAACCAUCUGCCCUGUUUCAACCACGGAGGUGGGCACAUAACCAUGCAGCACCAUGGAUUGAACCCUGAUGGGGAGCUCCGCACUGGCGUGCUCAACCACUGUGCUAUCAGAUAUCAGUGUCUGCACCAUAGCAAGUAGUAGAUAAUACUACGAUUUCUAAAACAUCAGAUACUUACCAAUGAAAGGAGUGGUAGUUAACAGAGUUUUUUUUUAUCAUGAGCAUAAUAUAAAACAUAAAUACUUAUUGGAUUCCCUUGUCUGUUAAAUAGAACUUUUAUAAUAUAUAUGGAGGACCUCAGUACACAUUUUAUGGAGGAGGAGCUGGCAUGGUGACAGGAACAAGUCCCUUUUAUCCAUAUUUCCAGUUUGGGCAAUCAGGAAACACUACUACCAACUAUACAAGUGGACAAGGCUACAACUUGCAAUACCCACAAAUGUUCCACUUCUCAACUGUAUCAUCUACAGCUGCAGCUGUGAACGGCUUUGCUCAGCAGUAUGGAGGACCAUUGUCACUAGCAGCAAGUCCUCAAGCCCAAGCAGUGUGUAUCCCCAUUAAACAGGCAUGACUAUGGCACUCGCAGCUCCAACCAUGCCAACUCCAACACAGGCUGCUCAUCCUUACCGGUUGAUUCCCUCAGUGUCCACUGCUCCAGAGCAACCCUUGGCCUAACCAUGGUCUCCCUUCUCGUCAUUGCUGUACUGUCUCGUUUCCAACUUGUCGAGUCCAUGCAUCCAUCUCUAACACCAAAAGGCACUAUUGUAGAUCAUGUUUAUCAGCCAAAGUGCUCACAUCCAUAUCCCACAUGGUCAUGUGGUAACUGGAUAUUAGCUUUAGCCCCAGGAUGGGCACAAAGCUUCAUGCCCCGAGGAUGGGGCGUUCUAACAGACAAGUACAAACCCUAACCAUUCUAAAUAUAGUCCAAGGAAGGACUUUAUCUGGGAGAGUUAAUUUCAGCUGUAGCGAGACAAGGCUGUAACUAAAAGAUACUAACAGUCAAGCAUGACCCAAGGAGGGUUCAUGCUGAUACUAGUCAAAUUGGACUACAAUGACAGCUAAAUAACUGAACUAGCAUGCCACUCCCACAUUUCAUCGGUAGAAUCCCAACUGUACCUAGCUUAGGCCUGACAUUUCUUGUUGAAGCAUAAACCAUUUAGGCAAACCUACCCUUCUAUAGUCCUGCUGUUACGGUGUUACCUAGACCAAAUGCAUAUGAUAUAUGACCAGCGACUAGUGUAACCAACUCAUCUUUUCUUUGCAAAAGAUUAGAUGCACCAACUAACAAUUUAUUUGAUCUUUCAGUUGAUAGCUUGCAUCUAGGUGGUCAAGGCUCUAAGGAGAGCCUGUGCCCCUAAUCAGAAACAGGUUCAGAGUAGUGCCAAUGUUUGUUUUUAGCACUUGGCACUACCCCCUGUCCCUCGAAACACAGCAUUGGGGACUCCAAAGAAGGCUUUGGAGUAACCAAGCACUGCUGUGUAACUCAUUAACACAAUGGACCCAUAGAUGAAUUUUUGUUGUCUUGGGUCACCCCACUCAUGUAGAUGUCAUUACUUCUCAGUGUCACUACCAUGGUUAGGUCCAGGCCCCCCUUCACUCCCUCCCUCUCUCUCUGCACAGGGCAGAGACCUUAGCACUCUUUAAUCUACUAUUACCAGGCAUGGUGGUUGUAAUAAUAAAUUAGCGCUAUGCUACUUGUAGGACACGAAGAACUCUGUUAUUCCACCCUUCAUAUGUACUUAAUAUCCUGUCCAUUUCAGUUCAGUAGUUGGUACUUAUUUCCAAAUUCCAACCAUUGUAGUGCACCAUAUAAUGUUGUGUAAUAUAUGUCCACUGUGCUGCACAUUUCUUAAUCAUCUGUCGUUCAGUUGCA